RNAcentral lists this unclassified non-coding RNA (339 nucleotides) under soil metagenome. RNAcentral describes it as "partial contains 5.8S ribosomal RNA, internal transcribed spacer 2, and large subunit ribosomal RNA". The stretch from base 1 to 120 matches the Rfam family "5.8S ribosomal RNA", at positions 35 to 154 of the family's 154-position model. The record is from RNAcentral.
GAUGAAGAACGUAGCGAAAUGCGAUACGUAGUGUGAAUUGCAGAAUUCAGUGAAUCAUCGAAUCUUUGAACGCACAUUGCACCUCUCGGUAUUCCGGGAGGUAUGCCUGUUCGAGCGUCAUUUGUACCCUCAAGCUCUGCUUGGUGUUGGGUGUUUGUUCCGCCUCUGUGUGUGAACUCGCCUCAAAACAAUUGGCAGCCGGCGUACUUGUUUCGGAGCGCAACACAUUUUGCGAUCCAGAUCAACGUACAGCGGCAUCCAAGAAGCCUUAUUUAACGCUCUUGACCUCGGAUCAGGUAGGGAUACCCGCUGAACUUAAGCAUAUCAAUAAGCGGAGGA